Homo sapiens (human) is the source of this 1048-nucleotide RNA transcript. It is a transcript of the gene named septin 7 pseudogene 14, with no coding region annotated. The record is from RefSeq and is marked validated. The transcript has 9 exons. NCBI's taxonomy places the organism in Eukaryota, Metazoa, Chordata, Mammalia, Primates, Hominidae.
GGAGCCAAUCGGAACUCGCGGCGGGGCUGCUGGGUCUUCCAGGAGCGCGCUUGAGCGGACGCUGCCUACCGGUGGCCGGGCGGGAUGUAACCCGCUGCUGAGCUGGCAGCUCUGUGUCGCUAGGCUUCGGCCCGGCCGCCGCCGCACAUAAGCUGCGAGGAGGAGCUUUACGACUUCCCGGUCUUCGGGGCCGGGCGCAGCAAGGGCCAGACUCUGCGCUAGCAGGCGCUGCGCGCCAACCGGCCGGCACCUGUCGCAGAAGGUGCAACCGAUCGCACUGUCGCGCCGAAGCUCCUCAAUGGCCAGCGCCAGCUGCAGCCCCGGCCGCCCACUCGCCUCACCUGAGCCUGGGAGCUUGAAAAAUCACAUUUGAGAAGAGGAUUGGAUCCUAGCCAUAACAUAAAUAUAAGGGUGGAACCAAAGUUUUAAUCAAAGAAGGUGGUGUUCAGUUGCUGCUUACAAUAGUUGAUACCCCAGGAUUUGGAGAUGCAGUGGAUAACAGUAAUUGCUGGCAGCCUGUUAUCAAUUACAUUGAUAUUAAAUUUGAGGACUACCUAAAUGCAGAAUCGCGAGUGAACAGAUGUCAGAUGCCUGGUAACAGGGUGCAGUGUUGUUUAUACUUCAUUGCUCCUUCAGGACAUGGACCAUUACAUAACUGAAGACUCCCACCUUCAGGCAGGAUUGGGUAGUACGUGUUUGUAACUACCUGGCAUUGCCUUUUGUUGAGGAAGGGUAGAUGUCUACCCAAAUGGAAUAUUGAGUAUCAGAGACUUCAAAUGAUAACUUUUGUUUGUUUGGAGAAAAUCUUGAGGACGUGAUCACUGUACAAAAGCAUGGCAAAAUGAGGAAACCACUGACAGGUGAAGAAUUUGCACAAUGGAAAACCACCUUGACCAUCUCAUGACUUUAUACAGGAAUCGGAGACAUCCAAGGCCAUUCCAUUUCUAAAUCACACUUAUCCCUCAAUCAAGUCAGUGACUGGAUCAUCUCCUAAGGUUUCACCUGCUUUGCAUCAGGGCAGGGUUCCACUCCCAUUGCCCAGGCUGGA